AACCUCCAGUUUCGUUCCCCAUCAGAUAUAAACACUCUUCUGAAUGGUUGCAAAAGGAGGAAAGAGAGAUUUAAAUUGACUUCAAUGCUUUUGUAACACAAAGGCUAGUUCAAGUUGUU
This 119-nucleotide small nucleolar RNA is filed under the name Echinops telfairi (small Madagascar hedgehog). RNAcentral describes it as "Small nucleolar RNA SNORA61 (ENSETEG00000026113.1)". The record is from RNAcentral. Lineage: Eukaryota; Metazoa; Chordata; Mammalia; Afrosoricida; Tenrecidae.